UUGAAAAACUAUCAAAGCAAGCUCUGAUACCAAUUGUUGGUACCAGCGGGGUAUGGUUCGAAGAGUAUAACGCAGCGGAAUAAAACUAAGAGUAGCAUAUAAGCGUGUUUGGUCACUCUUUACAAAUAAAUUGGUCCGUCUUUGAAAAUCAAUUUUCUUUCAGAAAAUUUAUCAAACAGUUAAUAUGCGUAAAAUGAAAUGAGUGUAGGGAAUAGAAAAAUCACACAAGUAUUUUUAUACUGGUUCGAUUCAACAGAAUCUACGUCCAGUCGUUAAUCACUGUAAAGAGUGAUUAACAGUUCCACUAAAAAACAAUUUCACAGAUUUACAAUAAGUGAACAAAAUAUAAAAGAACCUUCCUUCGACGAACGAACCAGAAGAAGAACACUCAGCCAACUCGAAGAGAACCGCUCCGACAAUCGACCAACGAUUCGCGAGCUUCUCCUUUUCACGAGACCAGGCAGAGCACCUUGCUAACUCGAAGAGAGCUUGCUCCGGCAAUCGACCAACGAUUCGCGAGCCUCUCCUAUUCACGAGACCAAGCAAGGGAACUUUGAAC
This 559-nucleotide long non-coding RNA is filed under the name Vigna radiata. RNAcentral describes it as "long non-coding RNA (VRAD_LNC003850)". The record is from RNAcentral. Lineage: Eukaryota; Viridiplantae; Streptophyta; Magnoliopsida; Fabales; Fabaceae.